GUCUUCAUGGUGAAAACAAACAUGUAGUCGCCCCGGAAAAUGGAGUGCCUCCAAUCAAUACCAACGUACCACAGGCCGUAGAUCCAGUUGGUGUCAGUUCUCGUUUCGCCAUUCGUGGAGAUUAGGCGUCGACCCUGAAAAUAGCAUCCGCAGAGAUGCCCGGGCAGCUGAUCAAAACAUGAAAAAUAGUGAAGAAGGCGGAAUUAACCAUCGAAUGAUAUUUGACAUGCUACAAACUCAGCAGGUCGCGAUAGCACAACUCCAAAAUCAGAAUCGAGCCCCAAGCAGAAUCGAACUCGAUACAUCACAGGAAGUUGUUUAUAGGGUCGAACCCGUACAGGAGAAAUUGAAUGAUCGUGUAUCGGGGAAUGAUCCCGCCAUCAUAAAGAUUCUCGAGGGGCUCACUAAACGGAUUGAAUCGGGAGAAAGGAAGACCGAGUGUAAUGAUAAAAAAGUAUAAAUGUACAACUCCCGGGUUGAUCAAAUACUGGGUGCACCCCCGAUUCUAAAGGGAUUCAUAAAAGUUCAUACAGAAUCCUUUCCCACCAACUGCGGCUCCAAAGCCCAUUCCGAAGAAAUUUCGCAUGCCAAAAAUUCCUAAGUACAAUGGCCACUGACCCUAAUGAGCAUGUCACUUCAUAUAUAUGCGCAAUAAAAGGAAAUGACUUAGAAGACGAUGAAAUUGAAUCUGUUCUGUUAAAAAAUUUUGGAGAAACUUUAUAGAAGGUGCCAAUGAUAUGGUACCAGAAUUUGCCUCCCAAUUCCAUCGAUUCUUUCACCAUGCUUGCCGAUUCAUUCGUAAAGGCACAUGCCAGAGCAAUAAAGGUCGCAACUAGGAAGUCAGACCUCUUCAAAGUGAGACAAAAGGACAAUGAAAUGCUAAGGGAAUUCAUAUCUCGAUUUCAGAUGGAGCGCAUUGACCUACCCUCGGUUACCGAUGAUUAGGCUAUCCAAGCCUUUACUCAGGGUUUGAACAAGCGAAGUUUGGUAGCCUCACGUCAACUAAAGUAGAAUUUAAUUGAAUAUCCAGCGGUGACCUGGGCCGAUGUGUAUAAUUGAUACCAAUCAAAGAUCAGGGUCGAGGAUGAUCAGUUGGGAGAUCUAUUUGGUUCCGUUUACCCAAAUAGGUCUGAAGGCAGGAUUUAAAGAGACAUCGAUAGAGAGCCCCGAUCGAACAUAGAUCGAUAUCAACCAUAUAACGCAGAUUGUAGAAAUAAUGGAUCGGGACGUAAUCUCAUUCGAAAUGAUCGAAGGAAUGAUCGAGGUCAAAAUUUUCGAGGGCUCAUGAGUAAGAGUGGCUUCGUUAAACAUGUCGAGUCUAAGGAAGCACCACGGUUAUCGGAACACAACUUUAGCGUCGAUGCUUCAGGUAUUGUGUCAGCCAUUGGAUGAAUCAAGGAUAUUAGGUGGCCCAGACUCCUGCAGACCGAUCUAACUCAAAGGAAUCCAAAUAAAAUGUACAAUCCCAUGGAAUUAAUGGUCACAAAACCGAGGAUUGCAAAUAAUUAAGGGAGGAGGUAGCUUGUUUAUUCAACGAAGGUCACCUUCGAAAGUUCUUGAGUGACCGAGCAAAAAAUCACUUCAGAGGCAGGAAUGCGAACAGGAAAAACGAACAGGAGGAACUGCAACACGUGAUUCAUAUGAUCAUCGGUGGGGUUGAUAUCCCUUAGAGUCCGACAUUUAAAUGCACCAAAGUCACAAUCACAAGGGAGAAGCGUAACCAGGACUACUUACCAUAAGAUACCUCAUCUUUCAACGAUAAGGAUGUAGAAGGGAUCGAACAGCCUCACAACGACGCACUAGUAAUAUUUAUCCUUAUGAAUAAAAUUCAAGUUAAAUGUGUGUUAGUUGAUCUAGGUAGCUCGACAAAUAUUAUUCGAUCGAGGGUCGUGGAGCAGCUCGUCCUUCAGGAUCAAAUCGUGUCUGUAGUUCGAGUGCUUAACAGUUUUAACAUGGCAAGUGAAACCACCAAAGGGGAAAUCAUGUUACUAGUGAACAUGGCUGGAACUAUCUAGGAAACAAAGUUGCAUGUAAUUGAAGGUGAUAUGAUAUGCAACAUGCUGCUCGGGAGACCUUGGAUCCAUAAUAUGAGGGCGGUACCUUCAACGCUUCAUCAAGUCUUGAAAUUCCUAACAUCGAAAGAAGUCAAAACGAUGUAUAGCGAACAACUAGCAGCCAAAGAGAUGUUUGCAAUCGAUGAGGUGAUACCAAUAUCAACUUUAACAUCAACAAAAGGGACCAGAAUCAAACGAAAAGCAGAAGCUCAAAUAGCAACCACAGUCACCGGUUUCAACCAAAUCGGAACAGUAGGAAAUUAUCAGGGAUGAUGAUUGCAUGAUACCUCGAACCUUCAUAAUCCCCGCUGAUUCCCAUGCCACAAAGUCAACGACUGAAGAGCUGGAACAAGUCAUACUGAUCGAGAAUCUGCCCGACCGAAAGGUAUACCUGGGCAUGGGGUUAACUCCCAAGAUCAGGGAAAAACUCAUUAAAUUCCUUAUUAAAAAUAUGGAUUGUUUUGCUUCAUCCCACCUUGACAUGACAGGGAUCCCACCGGAGAUCACCACUCAUCGAUUGAGUUUGGACCCUAAGUUCAUACCGGUAAAGCAAAAAAGAAGGCCACAGUCCGAGGUAAAGUAUGCAUUCAUCAAGGAUGAGGUAACCAAACUUCUCAAAAUAGGAUCCAUCCGGGAAGUAAAAUAUCCCGAAUAGUUAGCAAAUGUAGUUGUAGUCCCCAAAAAGGGAAAUAAACUUAGAAUGUAUGUAGACUAUAAAGACUUAAACAACGCAUGCCGUAAGGACUCUUUUCCCCCGCCGAAUAUCGAUCGCAUGAUCAAUGCCAUGGCCGACCAUGAGAUUCUCAGCUUUCUCGAUGCCUACUCUGGGUACAACCAAAUAUAAAUGAAUUCAGAGGAUCAGGAAAAUACUUCAUUUAUCACUAAGUACGGUACUUAUUCCUAUAAUGUAAUGCCAUUUGGGCUAAAAAAUGCUGGUGCUACUUAUCAAUGCCUAGUAAACUAAAUGUCCGAAGAACAAAUAGGUAAGUCAAUUGAGGUUUAUGUUGAUGACAUGCUAGUUAAGUCCCUACGCGCAGAGGACCAUUUGACACAUUUGCAGGAAACCUUCGACAUAUUGAGAAAAUACAACAUGAAGCUUAACCCCGAGAAAUGCGCAUUCGGGGUCAGUUCAGGUAAGUUCCUCGACUUUAUGGUGUCAAAUCAGGGAACUAAGAUCAACCCCGAUAAAAUCAAGGCAAUCAAAGACAUCACAGUCAUGGACAUCGUUAAGGUCGUACAAAGGUUAAUAGGACAGAUAGUCGCCUUAGGCCGGUUCAUCUCGAGGUCUUCGAAUCGAAGUCACAGGUUCUUUUCACUACUCAAAAAGAAGAACAAUUUCACUUGGACCCCAGAAUGCCAACAGGCAUUGGAAGAGUUAAAGCGGUAUUUUUUGAGCCCACCAUUGCUUCAUACACUGAAAAUGGGCGAGCAACUCUACUUAUAUUUGGCAGUCUUGGAGGUCGCAUUAAGUGGUGUCCUAGUUCGAGAAGAGCAAGGUACGCAAUUUCCUUUUUACUACAUUAGCCGAAAUUUAGGUGAAGCAGAGACCCGCUACCCACACUUAGAAAAAUUAGCAAUUGCUCUAAUAAGCGCCUCUAGGAAAUUAAAAUCGUAUUUUCAAUGUCACCCAAUUUGUGUUGUAACCACUUAUCCCCUUCGUAAAAUUUUGUACAAGCCCGAGUUCUCAGGCUGACUGGCCAAAUGGGCCGUCGAAAUCAGUGGGUACGAUAUCAAGUAUCAACCUUGAACGACCAUCAAGUCUAAAAUCUUAGCAGACUUCGUGGCCGACUUUACGCUAGCCCUCGUGCCCGAUAUCGAAAAGGAACUAUUGCUAAAAUCGGGUACAUCCUCAGAGGGUGUGGACCCUUUUCACAGAUAGUGCUUUGAAUGUGAAGGAGUCCGAGCUAGGCAUCAUUUUGAAGCCACCCACAUGCAAUACAAUUAGACAAUCCAUCAAAACCGCUAAGUUGACUAACAAUGAGGCCAAGUAUGAGGCCAUGAUUAUAGGUUUCGAGUUGUCUAAAUAUUUGGGAGAAGAGGUCAUAGAGGCCAAGUGUAAUUCCCAACUCGUGGUUAGCCAAGUCAAUAAAAACUUAGAGGUUCAAGAAGAUCGAAGCAGAGGUACUUGGACAAAUUGCAGGUAACCUUACACCGGUUCAAAGAAUGGACCCUACACCAUGUACAUAGAGAGCAGAACAGUGAAGCCGAUGCCCUUGCAAAUUUGGGGUCAUCAGUUGAAGAUGAUGAAAUUAGUUCGGGGAUUGUCGUACAACUUUCAAAGUCGGUAGUUGAAGAUGGCCAUGCCGAGAUAAACUCCACAAGCCUCACUUGGGAUUGGAGGAACAAAUAUAUCGAUUAUCUGAAGAAUGGGAAACUUCCGUCGGACCCUAAGGAAUCGAGGACUCUGUGAAAAAAGCUGCACGAUUCACAUUGUCCAGAGAUGGAACAUUGUACAGAAGGAUAUUCGAUGGGCCGUUGGAAAUAUGCUUGGGUCCGGGAGACACAGACUAUGUCCUACGAGAAAUUCACGAGGAUACUUGCGGAAACCAUUCCAGUGCCGAAUCACUGGGUUCACAAAGUCAUCAGAGUAGGAUACUAUUGGGACAUUGUGGAAAAAAAAUGCGACAAAUUCCAAAGACAUGCACCAAUGAUCCACCAGCCCAGGGAGCAACUUCAUUUAGUCCUAUCCCCAUGGCCAUUCAUGAAAUGGGGAAUGGAUAUUUUCGGCCCUCUUCCAUCGGCCCUGUCACACCUCCUUUUUACCUACACCCCCGGAAGGGGAUAAGGGAGUUUUUUCCAAUUUAAGUGACAAUCGAAACGGGAUUAUUUUUAUUUAAAAUUUCAGAGUCACCACUUGGGAUAAUUUAUGGUGUCCCAAGUCACCGGUUCAAAUCCCGAAUUGAGGAAAGAUUGACUCUGUAUUAUAGUCCGCGAACACAGAAAUUCGGGUAAGGAAUUCUGUUAAUCCGGGAGAAGGUGAUAGGCAUUCCCGAGUUCCGUGGUUCUAGCACGGUCACUCAACUGUUAUUAUUGGCCUAUUUAUCUAAUAUUAACACAUGAUCAAACCUAUGUGCAUUUUUAACUUUAUAACCGCUUUGUUCAAUUAAUUUUUAAGAAAAAUUCAACGUUAUCAAAAAUACAUCUUGAACCACGUCACAUAAAUGCACCCGCGGUCCACGACACAUUUUAUUUAACAUUGUUGGGAUUUGGAUUUGGGUCACAUAAAUGCACACCCGAGUUUAAGGAAAUCAAUUAUUAAAAUAAUGCGCCUAAAGCAACUACGCAUUUUUAACUUUGCGAGGGUCAUGCAAAUUCGCUAAAUGGAACACCUCGAUUUCUAAAAGGCAAACACAUUAAUUAAAUGAGGGCCGUGCAUUUAAAAUUUUACUUGGUACGGCGCGCCUCGAUUCCAAUUUUUUUAAAAGGAAAUUCAAGCUAACCUUUGAGGGCAAUAACCAUAUUUGCUAAGUAUGGCACACCUCAACCAAUUGUCUAAAAUUCCCGGCCCAAGAUACUUUUACAACCAAAUCAUAUGGCCACAACAUUUAAUUUCAAACUUAAUCAAACAACCUGAACAAGAUUCUUAAUAGUCCAGUGAUUAGUUCGCCUUGUAACUCAAAACAUUAAAUCAAAUAAGAAAAUCAAAAAUAAGAAAAACGUCUAUUUGGGUAUCGAACCCAACAUAGAAUUUAAUAGGAAAGAUGACUAAAUCAAUUAUAAUAUUGUGACAAUAAAUAAAAUACAAACUGAAACACACAUAACAGACACACAAGCAUAUAUAUACACUGCAUUGUAUAACGUAACUAAGCUAAACAUAAACAUAAUAUAACAUAACAAAAAAGCUAAAUUAAUCUUGACAUCAUAAGGAAUCAACACAAUUAAUAAAAGAAAUGAGUGAGAGAAAUGAACCUUUUAUAUUGAAAUUUUUUGAUUUAACUAUCACAUCGGCACUUCUCAAGUCGAACAAACGACAGAAACUAGAAACCAAACUUUAACGCCGAGAUCGAUGGACUGGAGCUAUGAGCGAGAGCCUCUAAUGACUUCAAACUUGCCGGAAGAAAAACUCAAACUUCCGGGUAGAAAGAGCUGCUGUUUCGGGGUGGAUUGGUACUGGUUUUUACGGUGUUUUGGAGCUAUUUUUGGGGCAAUUUUGGACUGCUUUCAGGUGGUGUUUCAACUGGAAUUUGGGGUCGUUGGUGGAGUGGACAGUGUCGAGGUGAGACGAGGUGAGGGAGAUGUUGUUGUUCGAGAAGCUGGUGAAGUAGGUAGCUGCUAUGGUGGAGCUCGUCUAGGGUUUGGUUGUGUUCAUUCCUCAUGAAGAAGAUGACAUUUUUGUCUCUUCAACCAAAUGGUUGAAGGAUCAAAACCUUAUAGAUGAUAGCCUAAAUCGUUGUUUUUUGAAGAAGAUCACCGACGUGGGGGUGAGGGGGAAGUCAGAUUCUAUCGUUCUCCUUGUGUAUUGCGGCACCGGUUGUCUUGUAUAGGUUUUUAGGCGUUCUUUCUUGUGUAUCCCCUUUAUUUUAGGUGUUAUACUAUUAUAUAGGGGUAGGGAUUAGAUUAGGGGUAUGAGCCUAGAGUUUAUGGGCUAGGUAAUUGGGC
This 6653-nucleotide long non-coding RNA is filed under the name Nicotiana tabacum (common tobacco). RNAcentral describes it as "long non-coding RNA (NTAB_LNC008188)". Lineage: Eukaryota; Viridiplantae; Streptophyta; Magnoliopsida; Solanales; Solanaceae. The record is from RNAcentral.